This is a long non-coding RNA of Equus caballus (horse), 499 nucleotides long. RefSeq lists it as uncharacterized. Lineage: Eukaryota; Metazoa; Chordata; Mammalia; Perissodactyla; Equidae. The record is from RefSeq and is a predicted model, not a curated record.
ACAGAUCUUCCUGUGGUUGGGAUUCUCUGGGCCAGCCCAGAAGCUCCUACCAUAUCCAGGAAAGUGUGGGGAUGGGGUUUGGCCACAGGACUCUUCUCUAUCUUCCUGCAAAGCUGUUUGAGUGACAAGUUUGCAAGCAAAGAGAAAGCAGCCAUCACGUAAGAAGACUGACAGCCCUGAAACUGCCAUGCUAGAGAGGCCAUGUAGGCCCUCUGGUUGAUGGUCUCAAAUGAGCCUGCUUCCAGCCAUCCCCAUCAUGGCGCCAGACAUCAUCUCUGCCUUUGCCUCGACAAUAUGCCCUGGCUAGGCUGCCAGAGGAUAAGACACAUGGAGCCGACCUGAGUUGCCCCAGUUGUGCUGGCCAAGGCCAUCCUAGAUCAACUGGAUUUGUCAACUGUCAGGCAUAUGAAGGAGGCCAGUCAAGACCAGAACUGUCCAGCCACUCCGGUGUAAAUCACUAAUCCAGACCUGUGAGCAAAAUAAAUGCUUAUUAUUUUAA